GGUUGGUCCAAAAUUUUUGAAAUUUUUAUAUUUUUGUUAAAGGGUCAAAGUAAAUACUUUGACCAUAUUUUAUGAAAAUUAAACGAGCCAAAUUAAUGUUAGUGAAAGUGUUGGGUACCACCUUAAGAAUAUCUCUUCUCUAGAUUUUGUAACGUGUUUUUUUUUUAAUUUUAUUUAGAGUGCAGCAUUACAUGUAUUAUGGCUGGUCAUAUAUAGUUG
RNAcentral lists this long non-coding RNA (219 nucleotides) under Mytilus galloprovincialis (Mediterranean mussel). The record is from RNAcentral. Lineage: Eukaryota; Metazoa; Mollusca; Bivalvia; Mytilida; Mytilidae.